Non-coding RNA from Cinara cedri, 253 nucleotides. NCBI's taxonomy places the organism in Eukaryota, Metazoa, Arthropoda, Insecta, Hemiptera, Aphididae. The record is from the annotation of a GenBank genome assembly.
GUUGGAUCAUCAAUAGAAUGUAUAGGUGUCUCCCUUUAAGAAAUAAUUAAUCCUCUUCUGAUAUUUAGAUCAAGUAUAUCUUGGUGGAAUUUUGUGAUAAGCAUAAGAUGGUGGUUUUAACUCUGAACGAUUUGACUUAGAUCCCAGUGUAAGUCCCCUCCAUAGUUUGAUACCCUAGAAUUUGUCAAAUCGCAACCAAACUUUAUAUCACCUCUAUAUAACUUUUAGACUACUUCAAUAGUAAAUAGUAACA